RNAcentral lists this ribosomal RNA (497 nucleotides) under uncultured bacterium. RNAcentral's name for it is "partial 16S ribosomal RNA". It matches the Rfam family "Bacterial small subunit ribosomal RNA", at positions 28 to 507 of the family's 1533-position model. The record is from RNAcentral.
GAUCAACUCUGGCGGGAUCCCUAAUACAUUCAAGUCGAUCGAACGUACGAGAAUCUUGCUUGUCUGAUGGUGGCGGCGGACGUGUAGGUAACACAUGUGUAACCUACCUAUAAAACGGGGAUAACUUCGGGAAACCGGAGCUAAUACCCGAUAAUAUUUGGAACCGCUUGCUUCAAAACUAAUAGACGUUCUUGCUAUCACUUAUAUAUGUAUCCGCGCUGCAUUAGCUAGUUGGUAAGGUAACUGCUUACCAGGGCAAAGAUGCAUAGCCAACCUGAGCGGGUGAUUGGCCACACUGGCACUGGGAUACGGUCAAGAGUCCUACGGGAGGCAGCAGUAGGGAAGCUUCCGCAAUGGGCGAAAGACUGACGGAGCAACGCCGCGUGAGUGAUGAAGGUCUUCGGAUCGUAAAACUCUGUUAUUAGGGAAGCACAUAUGUGUAAGUAACUGUGCACAUCUUGACGGUACCUAAUAAGAAAGCGACGGCUAACUACGUG